GCUCAGUUUGGGCUGUUUUACUGGCACAGCUGAUGAAGAGAGGUUUGCAUUUUGAUUUUAAUAUAAACGGAUAACCAGACAUGAUUCUUUCUACCUAUCACACUAUCCAGUCUGUUUUCUGCUGCUGCUGCUGCUCAGUGCAAGAAAGAGAAAUGAGAACAAAAGUGAACCUGGAUCCUGACACUGUCCUGGUGACCCACUACUCUGCCUCACAACCAGACGUUUCCUAUGAAUCUAUUUGGAAGUGUGAGGUAAGUAACAUUUUAGCAGGUGAAAAGA
RNAcentral lists this long non-coding RNA (279 nucleotides) under Chloebia gouldiae (Gouldian finch). RNAcentral describes it as "Erythrura gouldiae (Gouldian finch) lncRNA (ENSEGOG00005004501.1)". The record is from RNAcentral. Lineage: Eukaryota; Metazoa; Chordata; Aves; Passeriformes; Passeridae.